Molecule: ribosomal RNA, 518 nt
Filed under: Klebsiella ornithinolytica
Lineage: Bacteria; Pseudomonadati; Pseudomonadota; Gammaproteobacteria; Enterobacterales; Enterobacteriaceae
Description: Raoultella ornithinolytica partial 23S ribosomal RNA
Rfam family: Bacterial large subunit ribosomal RNA
Source: RNAcentral
ACACACGGCGGGUGCUAACGUCCGUCGUGAAGAGGGAAACAACCCAGACCGCCAGCUAAGGUCCCAAAGUCAUGGUUAAGUGGGAAACGAUGUGGGAAGGCACAGACAGCCAGGAUGUUGGCUUAGAAGCAGCCAUCAUUUAAAGAAAGCGUAAUAGCUCACUGGUCGAGUCGGCCUGCGCGGAAGAUGUAACGGGGCUAAACCAUGCACCGAAGCUGCGGCAGCGACACUAUGUGUUGUUGGGUAGGGGAGCGUUCUGUAAGCCGUUGAAGGUGGCCUGUGAGGGUUGCUGGAGGUAUCAGAAGUGCGAAUGCUGACAUAAGUAACGAUAAAGCGGGUGAAAAGCCCGCUCGCCGGAAGACCAAGGGUUCCUGUCCAACGUUAAUCGGGGCAGGGUGAGUCGACCCCUAAGGCGAGGCCGAAAGGCGUAGUCGAUGGGAAACAGGUUAAUAUUCCUGUACUCGGUGUUACUGCGAAGGGGGGACGGAGAAGGCUAUGUUAGCCGGGCGACGGUUGUC